Rhipicephalus sanguineus (brown dog tick) is the source of this 72-nucleotide non-coding RNA. The record is from the annotation of a RefSeq genome assembly. NCBI's taxonomy places the organism in Eukaryota, Metazoa, Arthropoda, Arachnida, Ixodida, Ixodidae.
GCCGCCGUAGCUCACUGGUAGAGCAUCGGACGCCUUAUCCGAAGGCCGUAGGUUUGGUCCCUGCCGGCGGCA